CGGACGGGUGAGUAACGCGUGGAAAACCUGCCGUAUACUGGGGGAUAACACUUAGAAAUAGGUGCUAAUACCGCAUAAGCGCACAGCUUCGCAUGAAGCGGUGUGAAAAACUCUGGUGGUAUACGAUGGUUCCGCGUCUGAUUAGCUAGUUGGUGGGGUAAUGGCCUACCAAGGCAACGAUCAGUAGCCGGCCUGAGAGGGUGAACGCCACAUUGGGACUGAGACACGGCCCAAACUCCUACGGGAGGCAGCAG
This 254-nucleotide ribosomal RNA is filed under the name uncultured bacterium. Its description in RNAcentral is "partial 16S ribosomal RNA". It matches the Rfam family "Bacterial small subunit ribosomal RNA", at positions 99 to 354 of the family's 1533-position model. The record is from RNAcentral.